Oncorhynchus tshawytscha (Chinook salmon) is the source of this 887-nucleotide long non-coding RNA. The record is from Ensembl. Lineage: Eukaryota; Metazoa; Chordata; Actinopteri; Salmoniformes; Salmonidae.
UGGUAAUGGUUGACCAGGGAAAUGUCUGUUGUCAUGGUAAUGGUUGACCAGGGAAAUGUCUGUGUCAGGGAAAAAUGUCUGUUGCCAUGGUAAUGGUUGACCAGGGAAAUGACUGUGGAAUGGUAAUGGUUGACCAGGGAAAAUGUAUGUUGUCAUGGUAAUGGUUGACCAGGGAAUGUCUGUUGUCAUGGUAAUGGUUGACAAGGGAAAUGUCUGUGGCAUGGUUGACCAGGGAAAUGUCUGUUGUCAUGGUAAUGGUUGACCAGGGAAAUGUCUGUGGAAUGGUAAUGGUUGACCAGGGAAAUGUCUGUGGCAUGGUAAUGGUUGACCAGGGAAAUGUAUGUUGUCAUGGUAAUGGUUGACCAGGGAAAUGUCUGUGGCAUGGUAGACCAGGGACAUGUCUGUGGCAUGGUAAUGGUUGACCAGGGAAAAUGUCUCUUGUCAUGGUAAUGGUUGACCAGGGAAAAUGUCUGUUGUCAUGGUAAUGGUUGACCAGGGAAAUGUCCGUGGCAUGGUAAUGGUUGACCAGGGAAAUGUCUGUUGUCAUGGUAAUGGUUGACCAGGAAAAUGUCUGUGGCAUGGUAAUGGUUGACCAGGGCAAUGACUGUGGCAUGGUAAUGGUUGACCAGGGAAACUGUAUGUUGUCAUGGUAAUGGUUGACCAGGGAAUGUCUGUUGUCAUGGUAAUGGUUGACAAGGGAAAUGUCUGUGGCAUGGUAAUGGUUGACCAGGGCAAUGACUGUGGCAUGGUAAUGGUUGACCAGGGAAAUGUCUGUGGCAUGGUAAUGGUUGACCAGGGAAAUGUCUGUGGCAUGGUAAUGGUUGACCAGGGAAAUGUCUGUGGUCAUGGUAAUGGUUGACCAGGGAAAUGUCUGUGGCAUGGUAAUG